RNAcentral lists this unclassified non-coding RNA (212 nucleotides) under plant metagenome. Its description in RNAcentral is "partial contains small subunit ribosomal RNA and internal transcribed spacer 1". The record is from RNAcentral.
AGACGUAACAAGGUCUCCGUUGGUGAACCAGCGGAGGGGAUCGAUUAUAGAGGUUAAUAAGCAAACUCCCAACCCAUGUGAAUUUACCUAUGUUGCCUCGGGCAGGUCCUACCCCUGUAGUUUACCCUGUAGCUACCCCUGUUGCCUGCCGGUGGGACCUACAAACUCUGUUUUUUAAUGGAAAUCUGAGCGUAUUAUUUAAUAAAUAAAAA